Long non-coding RNA from Oreochromis aureus, 827 nucleotides. RefSeq lists it as uncharacterized. NCBI's taxonomy places the organism in Eukaryota, Metazoa, Chordata, Actinopteri, Cichliformes, Cichlidae. The transcript has 3 exons. The record is from RefSeq and is a predicted model, not a curated record.
CUAAAAUUUGUACUCUCAUCCCCUAUAUUAUUUUAUUAUUAUGUUAACAUAGCUCAAAGUUCAGUUAGCUUUGAAGAAAAACAGAAAAGUCCUAAAAAGAGCUACUUUAUACUUUCUUACUUUGAGUACAUUUCAGAGCCUGCACUUUUCUACUUGAGUAAGGAACUUGAAUCAGUACUUCAACUUUUACUGGAAUAUUUUUUACAGGAGUAUUUGUACUUGUACUUAAGUACAGAAUGUCUGUACUUUUGCCAACUCUGCUUGGUCUGAGCAGGAGCUCAUCAGAUUGAACUAACUGGUGUCCUAUUCUUAAUGUUUCUGACUAAAUUCAGAAACAUUAAGGUUGUUGCUGCUGUGCACUCACAGAUACUGAUGGUCUGAUGAAGGCCUCUACAAGUGUGACAUCAGCGGUCAUGGAGAGUCUCCAUCCAGCUGGAUCACUGUCACAGACAAACCUACAACCACACCUCCACCUACCACUACAACUAUCCCCACCACUCCAGAUCUGACCGCUGACUCCUCACUACAGCUUGCAUUCAGAAUAGUCCUCCACCUGGUGGUGUUGUGUCCAUAUAUCAUCUCCACUCUCCUCAUGGUGUCUUUAUAUCAAUGCAGAGCCAAAGGAAAUGACAUCAGUGAUUCAACCAAGCCCACUCUGCUUGACCAGGGAUUGGAUAACGAACGUGAUGAUGUAAUCACUGAUGUAACCACAGAGUAUCACUUCUGAAUCAGAGCUUUGUUGUCUCUUUCUGAGUCUCACUAACUUUGUCCUCUCCAUCUCUGAUUUGGAGAUUAUUUGAAUAAAUGGACUCUGAUGUUCAUCUCUG